This 267-nucleotide ribosomal RNA is filed under the name uncultured bacterium. Its description in RNAcentral is "partial 16S ribosomal RNA". It matches the Rfam family "Bacterial small subunit ribosomal RNA", at positions 793 to 1055 of the family's 1533-position model. The record is from RNAcentral.
GUCCUAGCCGUAAACGGUGCACGUUUGCUGUAAAAGGAUUCGACCCCUUUUGUGGCGUAGCUAACGCGUUAAACGUGCCGCCUGGGAAGUACGGUCGCAAGAUUAAAACUCAAAGAAAUUGACGGGGGCCUGCACAAGCGGUGGAGUAUGUGGCUCAAUUCGAUGCAACGCGAAGAACCUUACCUGGCCUUGACAUGUAUGUAGUAGAAGGGUGAAAGCCUGACGAGGUAGCAAUACCAGCAUACACAGGUGCUGCAUGGCUGUCGU